CCUACGGGUGGCUGCAGUGGGGAAUAUUGGACAAUGGGGGCAACCCUGAUCCAGCCAUGCCGCGUGAGUGAUGAAGGCCCUAGGGUUGUAAAGCUCUUUUGUGCGGGAAGAUAAUGACGGUACCGCAAGAAUAAGCCCCGGCUAACUUCGUGCCAGCAGCCGCGGUAAUACGAAGGGGGCUAGCGUUGCUCGGAAUCACUGGGCGUAAAGGGUGCGUAGGCGGGUCUUUAAGUCAGAGGUGAAAUCCUGGAGCUCAACUCCAGAACUGCCUUUGAUACUGAGGAUCUUGAGUCCGGAAGAGGUGAGUGGAACUGCGAGUGUAGAGGUGAAAUUCGUAGAUAUUCGCAAGAACACCAGUGGCGAAGGCGGCUCACUGGUCCGGUACUGACGCUGAGGCACGAAAGCGUGGGGAGCAAACAGGAUUAGAUACCCUAGUAGUC
RNAcentral lists this ribosomal RNA (440 nucleotides) under uncultured bacterium. Its description in RNAcentral is "partial 16S ribosomal RNA". It matches the Rfam family "Bacterial small subunit ribosomal RNA", at positions 338 to 795 of the family's 1533-position model. The record is from RNAcentral.